RNAcentral lists this long non-coding RNA (947 nucleotides) under Anser brachyrhynchus (Pink-footed goose). Its description in RNAcentral is "lncRNA (ENSABRG00000022021.1)". The record is from RNAcentral. Lineage: Eukaryota; Metazoa; Chordata; Aves; Anseriformes; Anatidae.
CUUAAAUAGUAAUAGAUAGUUCAGCUUAAUUAUUAUAUGUGGUUGCUUACUGAGAACUCUUCAGCACUGCAAGUGAGUUAACAGUUCAGAACUGUUACAUGCAUAAAUACAUGAGGAAAAAUUAAUCACAAGUGCCAAACCUCUGGGAAUUUUACAAAGCAUUGUCCUAGUCACAAUUUCCCAUAAGGAAUCCUUAAAGCAUUUUACAAACUGUGUAGCACAUAAUACGAUUUUGAAAGGAAAAAAAGAAGGAAAAUAUUCCUGGCUGCAGUUGGUGAGAGUUGAGGAUGUGUCAAUGGCAAAGUGCAACACAACUGUACAAGAACUGAAAUUGGAGGGGCAAUGGUGUAUUACUAAAGGUAAUACAUAUUCUCUUUCUUUCAGUUUUAGUACCUGUUGCUCCUCUCUAUAUUUCUUUACUUCUGUAGAAGACCUGUUUCUAAUUUGUAGGAUUCAUUGGUACUGUUAAGGAGGUGGCAGCUCUUCCUUCAGUGUUGUUAUAAGGGCUAAGCUUUGCAUGUCUGCAGGGGAGAGCAGGACAAGUUUAAGGAAUAGAAAUGCAUAAAUACUUGCUAAAUACUUAGAAGCUACUUGUGGCUCAGAAAUGUCAUGAGCUGAAAAUAGGUAGAGGGUGAGAAAAUGUUAGGAGAAUGUGCCAUAUAUUCUUGCCCUAUUAUUCUUUAGGUGCUCUUAGACAUUGCAGCAAUCAGGUUAAUCAGUUAGAUGGACCUUUGGCCUGGCUUCUCAGUAUAAAUUGUGACUCAUUUAUCUUGAAACAUGAAAUUAAGCCAUAUAUUUAAGCUUCUUCAUUGUUAGGCUUUCUACAUUGACGCCCAAAGGAACUCUUCAACAAUAUAGCACAUCCAGUAUAAUCCUGUUUGGGACAGCAGUAUAGCAGAUGCUUUUAAACUGGAAAAAUAAAAAAUAAAAAAGUAUGGGAAAUAGCA